RNAcentral lists this ribosomal RNA (504 nucleotides) under uncultured bacterium. Its description in RNAcentral is "bacterial SSU rRNA". It matches the Rfam family "Bacterial small subunit ribosomal RNA", at positions 376 to 896 of the family's 1533-position model. The record is from RNAcentral.
CGAAAGCCUGACGGAGCAAUGCCGCGUGCAGGAUGAAGCGGUUUCGCCGUGUAAACUGCUGUCAGGGGACAGAAACACUGAUCGUCCCCAAAGGAAGGGCCGGCUAAUCCUGUGCCAGCAGCCGCGGUAAUACAGGAGGCCCGAGCGUUAGUCGGAAUCACUGGGCUUAAAGGGUGCGUAGGCUGACCGGUAAGUAUCCCGUGAAAUACCUCGGCUCAACCGAGGAAUGGCGGGGUAAACUGCCGGUCUUGAGGGAGGUAGGGGUUGCUGGAACGCUCGGUGGAGCGGUGAAAUGCGUAGAGAUCGAGCGGAACGCCGAAGGUGAAGACAAGCAACUGAGCCUCUCCUGACGCUGAGGCACGAAAGCGUGGGGAGCAAACAGGAUUAGAUACCCUGGUAGUCCACGCCGUAAACGAUGCGCACUAGACCGAUGCAGGUCUGACCCUGUGUUGGUCGGAGAGAAAUUGUUAAGUGCGCCGCCUGGGAAGUACGGUCGCAAGGCUA